Molecule: long non-coding RNA, 1562 nt
Organism: Bubalus bubalis (water buffalo)
Lineage: Eukaryota; Metazoa; Chordata; Mammalia; Artiodactyla; Bovidae
Exons: 2
Source: RefSeq, a predicted model, not a curated record
AAAAGUGAAAGGAAAGUCACUCAGUUGUGUCCGACUCUUCGCGACCCCAUGGACUGCAGCCCACCAGGCUCCUCCAUCCACGGGAUUCUCCAGGCAAGAGUACUGGAGUGGGGUGCCAUGCCUUCUUUGAAUAUCCUCCUGGACAUCACCAUAGAUCACAGAACCUUCAACUCUUCCUUGAAGAACCAGACUGGCCACUAGACACCGAGGGCACCAUUCCAUCACAAUGGCCAACCCAGCUCACAGCCUUUCCACUCAAAUACCGUUCACUCAUUCAUUGAGCAAGCAUGGAGUCCUUCGUUGGGAGGAGUGCUGGCCUGGCCUCUGACUCCCAGGAACCCGGUCUGGGCCGCAGGAACCCAGAGUGUGUGGCUUCCAGCCAGUCCCACCCCAACAAGGCGGGAGCUUCAGUCUUGCUGUCCCCACACGGAGCCAGGUAGACACGUCUGAGCACCUUCGCUUUGCUGUCCCCACACGGAGCCAGCUAGACACGUCUGAGCACCUUCGCGCAGGCUCUGUGGCCCCCUCGCCUCCCACACGACCUCACCUCUGUAUGCUGAUGCGGCCAGCAGGCCCCACCCGCCCAGCCACCUUCAUUUGCUCGAGCUGGCAGCCGGGCGGGGCUAGGGCCUAUCUGGCCGUCGGAUUAAUAUCCAGAUAUUAAGUAAACAAUAAAUUAGCAAAACUACAAGAAAAUUUUACAGCCCUUUGCAUUUGGCAAUCAUUGAGUGUUAAUUAGAAAUUCAUUACAAUUAAAACCCUGCCUAAACAGGGCCUGCGCGCCUUAAUUACAUCUGAUUUUUAAUUCAGAAUACGUGUUUACACAGUAAGCGCUACGUACCCCAUGAUUAUCCCCAAUCCUCUUUAUACUGUACUAAUUAUGUAAAUUAAACCUAAUUAACUGACGAAAACUGCCGUUAAUUCAACUGGUAAAAGAUAUGUGCUUGCGGAGGAGGCGCGGCCGCAGCCCAAGACAGAGCUGGAAUGGGCACGGGGACGCCGGGCUACGUGGACGCGACGCCAGGGACUCAGAGGCAGCAUGGACCCGGCGGGGGCUGGUGGGGUGCACGCCAGGCGCGUCCCUGAUCCUGGCCCUCCGACCCUGGUGCACCCAGCAGUGGGUAAAAUAGAAUCCGCGCCAGUGGGGGUCAGAAAGGCCAAGGGCACUGACUCGAGCGCACUCCCCGGGCGCUGGACUGAGCUGCAGGACUCAGAGCCCCCUGUGAGCAAGAGGGAUGCCGCCCUCCCCCGUCUGAGCCUGAGUUCAAGUCCCAGCGCUGCCCCACACUGGCUGCCUGCAUCUGAGCAAGUCACCUGGCUUUGUUAGGCCUGUUUUCCUCUUCGCGGAGUGUUGCGAGGGCGACCCUAAAAGCUCCUCGUGAGCUGCGCGGUACUUAUCUUCCGUUCAUUAAACGAGGCCCUCCAAGCAGCGUGCAAUAUUUGGGGUCUGGGAGAUCAGCCUGCAUCCCUUAUUGACUGAGGAGCCUGGGUGAGUUGGCUUCCACUGCCUGACCCUCGAUUUCCUACCUGUAAAAUGGGAAUAAAUGAUCUUUACCUAUUCC